RNAcentral lists this ribosomal RNA (900 nucleotides) under uncultured bacterium. RNAcentral describes it as "bacterial SSU rRNA". It matches the Rfam family "Bacterial small subunit ribosomal RNA", at positions 33 to 923 of the family's 1533-position model. The record is from RNAcentral.
ACGCUAGCUACAGGCUUAACACAUGCAAGUCGAGGGGAAACGACAUCGAAAGCUUGCUUUUGAUGGGCGUCGACCGGCGCACGGGUGAGUAACGCGUAUCCAACCUGCCCACCACUUGGGGAUAACCUUGCGAAAGUAAGACUAAUACCCAAUGACGUCUCUAGAAGACAUCUGAAAGAGAUUAAAGAUUUAUCGGUGAUGGAUGGGGAUGCGUCUGAUUAGCUUGUUGGCGGGGUAACGGCCCACCAAGGCGACGAUCAGUAGGGGUUCUGAGAGGAAGGUCCCCCACAUUGGAACUGAGACACGGUCCAAACUCCUACGGGAGGCAGCAGUGAGGAAUAUUGGUCAAUGGACGAGAGUCUGAACCAGCCAAGUAGCGUGCAGGAUGACGGCCCUAUGGGUUGUAAACUGCUUUUAUAAGGGAAUAAAGUGAGUCUCGUGAGACUUUUUGCAUGUACCUUAUGAAUAAGGACCGGCUAAUUCCGUGCCAGCAGCCGCGGUAAUACGGAAGGUCCGGGCGUUAUCCGGAUUUAUUGGGUUUAAAGGGAGCGUAGGCCGGAGAUUAAGCGUGUUGUGAAAUGUAGACGCUCAACGUCUGCACUGCAGCGCGAACUGGUUUCCUUGAGUACGCACAAAGUGGGCGGAAUUCGUGGUGUAGCGGUGAAAUGCUUAGAUAUCACGAAGAACUCCGAUUGCGAAGGCAGCUCACUGGAGCGCAACUGACGCUGAAGCUCGAAAGUGCGGGUAUCGAACAGGAUUAGAUACCCUGGUAGUCCGCACGGUAAACGAUGGAUGCCCGCUGUUGGUCUGAAUAGGUCAGCGGCCAAGCGAAAGCAUUAAGCAUCCCACCUGGGGAGUACGCCGGCAACGGUGAAACUCAAAGGAAUUGACGGAAGGGCG